AUCCAGCUGAAAAGUCCCAAAUAGGACGAAACGCGCGUCAAACUGGAU
Schistosoma curassoni is the source of this 48-nucleotide non-coding RNA. Lineage: Eukaryota; Metazoa; Platyhelminthes; Trematoda; Strigeidida; Schistosomatidae. The record is from Rfam.